CGCGCAGGCGGUCGAAUCAGUCGAAUGGUGAAAAGCCCCCGGCUCAACUGGGGAGGGUCAUUCGAUACUGUUCGACUUGAAGGCAGGAGAGGGGAAGCGGGAAUUCCCGGUGUAGUGGUGAAAUGCGUAGAUAUCGGGAGGAACACCCGUGGCGAAGGCGGCUUUCUGGCCUGUUCUUGACGCUGAGGCGCGAAAGCUAGGGGAGCGAACG
RNAcentral lists this ribosomal RNA (211 nucleotides) under uncultured bacterium. Its description in RNAcentral is "partial 16S ribosomal RNA". It matches the Rfam family "Bacterial small subunit ribosomal RNA", at positions 568 to 774 of the family's 1533-position model. The record is from RNAcentral.